RNAcentral lists this ribosomal RNA (1450 nucleotides) under Nesioneta ellipsoidalis. RNAcentral's name for it is "SSU rRNA". It matches the Rfam family "Eukaryotic small subunit ribosomal RNA", at positions 108 to 1749 of the family's 1831-position model. The record is from RNAcentral. Lineage: Eukaryota; Metazoa; Arthropoda; Arachnida; Araneae; Linyphiidae.
AGUUAUGGUUCCUUGGAUCGUACUUUGUUAUUUGGAUAACUGUGGCAAUUCUAGAGCUAAUACAUGCAGCAGAGCUCCGACCUUCGGGAACGAGCGCUUUUAUUAGACCAAAAUCAAUCGGGCCUCGUGUCCGUUGAACGUGGUGACUCUGUAUAACUUUGGGCUGAUCGCACGGGCUUGUCCCGGCGACGUAUCCUUCAAGUGUCUGCCUUAUCAACUGUCGAUGGUAGGUUAUGCGCCUACCAUGGUCGUAACGGGUGACGGGGAAUCAGGGUUCGAUUCCGGAGAGGGAGCCUGAGAAACGGCUACCACAUCCAAGGAAGGCAGCAGGCGCGCAAAUUACCCACUCCCGGAACGGGGAGGUAGUGACGAAAAAUAACAAUACGGGACUCUUUUGAGACCCCGUAAUUGGAAUGAGAACACUCUAAAUCCUUUAACGAUUAACGAUUGGAGGGCAAGCCAAGUGCCAGCAGCCGCGGUAACACUUGCUCCAAUAGCGUAUAUUAAAGUUGUUGCGGUUAAAAAGCUCGUAGUUGGAUCUCAGUUCUGGUCUAGCGGUCUGCCUACCGGCAGUCACUGCUGGUUCUGAACAAGCCAGUCGGUUUCCCUUGAUGAUCUUCGCCGGUUGUCUCGGGUGACCGACAAGUUUACUUUGAAUAAAUUAGAGUGCUCAAAGCAGGCGUGACGCCUGAACAAUGGUGCAUGGAAUAAUGGAAUAGGACCUCGGUUCUAUUUUGUUGGUUUUCGGAACACGAGGUAAUGAUUAAGAGGGACAGACGGGGGCAUUCGUAUUGCGACGCUAGAGGUGAAAUUCUUGGACCGUCGCAAGACGAACUACUGCGAAAGCAUUUGCCAAGAAUGCUUCCAUUAAUCAAGAACGAAAGUUAGAGGAUCGAAGGCGAUCAGAUACCGCCCUAGUUCUAACCAUAAACGAUGCCAGCCAGCGAUCCUGGUAGGAUUGACAGAUUAAGAGCUCUUUCUUGAUUUUGUGGGUAGUGGUGCAUGGCCGCUCUUGGUUCGUGUAGUGAUUUGUCUGGUUCAUUCUGAUAACGGACGAGGCUCUAGCCUACUAAAUAGACGCCCGGAUCUCGGUCAGUCCGGCGUUCUUCUUAGAGGGACUGGCGGCGUUCAGCCGCACGAGGUUGAGCAAUAGCAGGUCUGUAAUGCCCUUAGAUGUCCUGGGCCACACGCGUGAUACAUUGAAGGAAUCAGCGUGUGCUUUCCCUGUUCGACCGGGCUGGGUAACCCGUUGAACCUCCUUCGUGCUAGGGAAUGGGAUUUGCAAUUGUCUCCCAUGAACGAGGAACGCCUAGUAAGUGCGAGUCAUCAUCUCGCGUUGAUUAGGUCCCUGGCCCUUGUACACACCGCCCGUCGCUAUUACUGAUUGAAUGUCUUAGUGAGGACUUCGGAUUGGCUGUCGAUUUGGCUCUAGGUUCGAGCCGACGUGCCG